RNAcentral lists this long non-coding RNA (358 nucleotides) under Pan troglodytes (chimpanzee). Its description in RNAcentral is "long non-coding RNA NONPTRT007826". The record is from RNAcentral. Lineage: Eukaryota; Metazoa; Chordata; Mammalia; Primates; Hominidae.
AUCUAAUGAUGGUGGACGCAGGAGUGUGAAGGUAGAUUGUAAAGUAGCUCUGAACCAAAGUUGAGCUACAUUCGGUCACUCGAGUAUAUUCAUCAUCUCUCUGAAUGACAACUUUAGAAAUCUUCCUAUCUCUAUCAAGUUCACCGUCCCUAUGUCGAAGAACACAGUGAAAAGUAUAAAGAGAAAAGGUAAUGAAGGUAGAAUAGCAGCGGGGGCACCGGCGUGAUGAUGUUAAGCUGUAAGAUCAUCAAUGGAAACAUGUAUCACUGCAUCUAACAGUAUAUUGCCACUGUAGUAUGUUUCCUGAGACUUCAUCCUGUCUGCUCAUGAGAAAUGUAAGUUGAAUAAAAAAGUGAGG